RNAcentral lists this non-coding RNA (46 nucleotides) under Schistosoma curassoni. The record is from RNAcentral. Lineage: Eukaryota; Metazoa; Platyhelminthes; Trematoda; Strigeidida; Schistosomatidae.
UCAUUACUGAGGAGUCCCACAAUAGGACGAAACGGCCGUUCAGUGC